GCAAAGCACAGGGCCUGCAGAGAGG
This 25-nucleotide non-coding RNA is filed under the name Mus musculus (house mouse). The record is from RNAcentral. RNAcentral also lists the same sequence under 1 other name. Lineage: Eukaryota; Metazoa; Chordata; Mammalia; Rodentia; Muridae.